Molecule: ribosomal RNA, 519 nt
Filed under: uncultured eukaryote
Lineage: Eukaryota
Description: SSU rRNA
Rfam family: Eukaryotic small subunit ribosomal RNA
Source: RNAcentral
AGGGCACCACCAGUAGUGGAGCCUGCGGCUUAAUUUGACUCAACACGGGGAAACUCACCCGGCCCGGACACCGGAAGGAUUGACAGAUUGAUAGCUCUUUCUUGAUUCGGUGGAUGGUGGUGCAUGGCCGUUCUUAGUUGGUGGAGCGAUCUGUCUGGUUAAUUCCGAUAACGAACGAGACUCUAGCCUACUAAAUAGACGUCGGGUUCUCUGCACUCGACGGUCUUCUUAGAGGGACAAGGUGCUUUUAGCACCGCGAAACAGAGCAAUAACAGGUCUGUGAUGCCCUUAGAUGUCCGGGGCCGCACGCGCGCUACACUGAAGGAAGCAGCGUGUAACAACCUUGUUCUAACGAACUGGGUAACCCGUGGAACUUCCUUCAUGAUUGGGAUAGGGGUUUGCAAUUGUGCCCCUUGAACGAGGAAUUCCCAGUAAACACUAGUCAUCAGCUAGUGCUGAUUACGUCCCUGCCCUUUGUACACACCGCCCGUCGCUACUACCGAUUGAAUGGUUUAGUGA